CAAGUCGAGGGGCAGCAUGAACUUAGCUUGCUAAGUUUGAUGGCGACCGGCGCACGGGUGAGUAACACGUAUCCAACCUUCCCGCAACUGGGGAAUAACCUUGCGAAAGUAAGACUAAUACCCCAUGGUCUCCACGGAUGGCAUCUGAAAUGGAGUAAAGGUUUCGGCCGGUUGCGGAUGGGGAUGCGUCCGAUUAGCUUGACGGCGGGGUAACGGCCCACCGUGGCAUCGAUCGGUAGGGGUUCUGAGAGGAAGGUCCCCACAUUGGAACUGAGACACGGUCCAAACUCC
This 291-nucleotide ribosomal RNA is filed under the name uncultured Prevotellaceae bacterium. RNAcentral describes it as "partial 16S ribosomal RNA". It matches the Rfam family "Bacterial small subunit ribosomal RNA", at positions 58 to 339 of the family's 1533-position model. Lineage: Bacteria; Pseudomonadati; Bacteroidota; Bacteroidia; Bacteroidales; Prevotellaceae. The record is from RNAcentral.